AUUGAACGCUAGCGGCAUGCUUUACACAUGCAAGUCGAACGAGUGGCGGACGGGUGAGUAAUAUAUCGGAACGUGCCCAGUAGCGGGGGAUAACUACUCGAAAAAGUGGCUAAUACCGCAUACUAUGGGAGGGACCGAAAUUGGAUUAGCUAGUUGGUGGGGUAAAGGCUCACCAAGGCGACGAUCCGUAGCUGGUUUGAGAGGACGACCACCCACACGGGGACUGAGACACGGCCCAGACUCCUACGGGAGGCAGCAGUGGGGAAUUUUGGACAAUGGGGGCAACCCUGAUCCAGCCAUCCCGCGUGUAUGAGAAGGCCUUAGGGUUGUAAAGUAAUUUUGGCAGAGAAGCGGUAUCUGCAGAAUAAGCACCGGCUAACUACGUGCCAGCAGCCGCGGUAAUUC
This 405-nucleotide ribosomal RNA is filed under the name uncultured bacterium. RNAcentral describes it as "partial 16S ribosomal RNA". It matches the Rfam family "Bacterial small subunit ribosomal RNA", at positions 30 to 526 of the family's 1533-position model. The record is from RNAcentral.